AUGAUAACUGAUCAUAAUAUAGAUGUGCUCUGUUUGACAGAAACCUGGCUAAAACCUGAUGAUUACAUUAUUUUAAAUGAGUCCACCCCCCAAGAUUACUGUUAUAAACAUGAGCCGCGUCUAAAAGGCAAAGGGGGAGGAGUUGCUUCAAUUUAUAACAACGUUUUCAGGAUUUCUCAGAGGGCAGGCUUCAAGUAUAACUCAUUUGAAGUAAUGAUGCUUCAUAUAACAUUAUCCAGAGAAACAAAUGUUAAUGAUAAAUCCCCUGUUAUGUUUGUACUGGCACCUGUAUACAGGCCACCAGGGCACCAUACAGACUUUAUUAAAGAGUUUGGUGAUUUUACAUCCGAGUUAGUUCUGGCUGCAGAUAAAGUUUUAAUAGUUGGUGAUUUUAAUAUCCAUGUCGAUAAUGAAAAAGAUGCAUUGGGAUCAGCAUUUAUAGACGUUCUGAACUCUAUUGGUGUUAGACAACAUGUUUUAGGACCUACUCAUUGUCGAAAUCAUACUCUAGAUUUAAUACUGUCACAUGGAAUUGAUGUUGAUAGUGUUGAAAUUAUUAAGCCAAGUGAUGAUAUCUCAGAUCAUGAUUUAGUUCUGUGCAAACUUCAUAUAGCCAAAAUUGUAAAUUCGACUUCUUGUUACAAGUAUGGAAGAACCAUCACUUCUACCACAAAAGACUGCUUUUUAAGUUAUCUUCCUGAUGUAUCCAAAUUCCUUAGCAUAUCCAAAACCUCAGAACAACUUGAUGUAACAGAAACUAUGGACUCUCUCUUUUCUAGCACUUUAAAUACAGUUGCUCCUUUACGCUUAAGGAAGGUUAAGGAAACCAGUUUGACACCAUGGUAUAAUGAGCAUACUCGCACCCUAAAGAGAGCAGCCCGAAAAAUGGAGCGCAGCUGGAGGAAAACAAAACUAGAGGUAUUUCGUAUAGCUUGGCGGGAAAGUAGCAUAUCCUACAGAAAAGCAUUAAAAAAAGCUAGAUCUGAUUACUUCUCUUCUCUUUUAGAAGAAAACAAACAUAACCCCAGGUAUUUAUUCAAUACAGUGGCUAAAUUAACGAAAAAUAGAGCCUCAACAAGUGUUGACAUUUCCCAACACCACAACAGUAAUGACUUUAUGAACUACUUUACUUCUAAAAUCUUCUAA
This 1146-nucleotide long non-coding RNA is filed under the name Carassius auratus (goldfish). Its description in RNAcentral is "lncRNA (ENSCARG00000008004.1)". Lineage: Eukaryota; Metazoa; Chordata; Actinopteri; Cypriniformes; Cyprinidae. The record is from RNAcentral.